AACCAUAGAAACCUGCGGAGUACCUGCGGAAGGAUCAUUACCGAGUGAGGGCCCUCCGGGUCCAACCUCCCACCCGUGUUUAACGAACCUUGUUGCUUCGGCGGGCCCGCCUCACGGCCGCCGGGGGGCACCCCGCCCCCGGGCCCGCGCCCGCCGAAGACACCUGUGAACGCUGUCUGAAGUUGCAGUCUGAGACACUAGCUCAAUCAGUUAAAACUUUCAGCAACGGAUCUCAGAUCG
RNAcentral lists this unclassified non-coding RNA (240 nucleotides) under soil metagenome. RNAcentral describes it as "partial contains 5.8S ribosomal RNA, internal transcribed spacer 2, and large subunit ribosomal RNA". The record is from RNAcentral.